UGUUAAAAAAUUUAUCCAUUUGUACUGUUAAAAACUAGCGUGACUACGUGUACCUUAUGUUGAUAUAUAGAGACCAAUUUUUAACAGCAAAAAUGAAUGAAAUUUUUAACA
Molecule: non-coding RNA, 111 nt
Organism: Gossypium hirsutum (cotton)
Lineage: Eukaryota; Viridiplantae; Streptophyta; Magnoliopsida; Malvales; Malvaceae
Source: Rfam